Molecule: long non-coding RNA, 522 nt
Filed under: Phasianus colchicus (ring-necked pheasant)
Lineage: Eukaryota; Metazoa; Chordata; Aves; Galliformes; Phasianidae
Description: lncRNA (ENSPCLG00000012340.1)
Source: RNAcentral
AUGCCAGGAAAAAUGCCCCAAAACCACAGCACAAAACUCCUCCAGGAGAAGCUGAACGCUGGGAUCUCUGCCCGGGGCUGGGUGAGGGGGUGCGGACGCCCCAGGGCCUACCCCCGAGUUUCGGGGCGGGGGAGCGAUGCUCGCAGGGUCUGGGCCGGAGCGGCAUCGCCGUUCCCCCACCCCCGAGGUGCCGCGAGCUGCCGCCCCAGCCCCGGCCCCAGCCCUUACAUGGACAAAUCUGCCUGCAGGGAAAGGCAGGAAUUUGGGCCCUUGACGUCAGCCCCGGGCAGAGCGCAGCAGCCCGGCGGGGCGGGAGGCAGCGGCCGCCGCUUUCGCUUUUUGUUUCGGGGGUGUCCCCGGGAGCUCGGGGCUCGCAGCCCACCUCCUACGCCGGAGGGGAGGGCUGUGAAAGAAACCCAAAGUCGUGACUCUGGCAGUCUCCAGAAGCCCCGCUCCGAGUUCAUCCCACCAGCAAGGCUGUGCAGUGCAGGAGCCGAGUGCCUUAUAAUUGAGAGUGCCUGA